AGAAGGUUCACAAUUCAACUCCAUAUUAUCAAUGCUUAAAAUGAUCUUCUGAUGGUGACUACUUGAUUGCCUAUAGGCUGAAAGGAAAAUAGAUUCUAGCAACCAGCUCGAUGUAAUAGUUUAUCUAUUAAACCAUCCCUCCAGAGUCAUCACAAAUGAAACCAAAACCUGUCUGUAGAGAGACUAGAGAUAAAGUGGACACAGGAAUAUCUAGUUUCAGACAAUUAUUUAAUGGUUUGUCAAGGGACUAACGGUUGAAGGGUUACCUCCCUUCAUCUCCCAGCCACUCCAAAACAUUGGUAUUCAGAACAUAACCGGACAUCAGAUCAGCAUCACUGAAUGGGCACAGUAAAAGCCUGAAGUAGUGACCUUGUCACCUUCAAGCUUUCGCAUAACCAAAUAUGUUGCUACUGAAAAGAUGAUUUUUCCCAAAUCUCCUAUCAGGAGGGAAAACUCUGAUUAGAGUACUUAUAAAAUAGAAAUUUCUAAAUGCAAAGGAGAUGCAUUUUAAUAGCUAAGGAUCUGUUUCGGUAAAUCUGCCAGAUCCGGCAGCAUAGGCUAGCGAGAGGGAAGGGAAGAGAGCAUGAGCGAAGGGAGGGAGAGUAUGCGGAUGCUGCAUGUCCCAAUACCUGCUGGAAGGAAAAAUAAAAAGAUCUCUUGAGUUUAUUUUCCCCUUUCCCUUCGCACAAGGAUUGGGCCCUGGGACCCCCCAUGUGCCCUCUCUCCCUCCCACUCUGUAGCAUUCUCUCCCACGCACACUCUUCGUCCACCUAUCCUGCCAGAUCCUGCAGCAGGAUGCUGCCAAAAAAAAGCAGAAUUUUGAAAAAAAAUGUCAUAGACAUCUAAAUAAUGGGGAAAAAAAUACAUGGAACAGAAGAGGUCAAAAUUUAACAUGCCCCCUCAACAAUAAGCAAUAUUGCAUCAACAUAAAAUCAAAAGCUUACCAGCUACAAAGAAAAAGAGAACAAAAGCAAUAGAAGAAGAGAACAAUAAAUUGUCUCUCAAACUUUUGGCAAGCACAAAAGCAGGAAAACAAUGAUCAAGUGCAAGUCCUCACAGCAAACAGUGGCACAAAAACUCAACUUCAACAAACUGUAUAUCCCACUCACCUUGCCUUAGUUAUUGCAUUAGUGCAACAAAAAUUUCUUUUGCUCCCUUCAUACAGGUCUUCCAUCGACAACACAGUAUAAUACACCCAACUGUUGAAGAUAAUUGAAAGAACUCACACAAAAUCAUUUCUCUUUUUAUUUUUUAUUUUCAUAUAUAGUAUAUCUAUGUCCAUCACUCUUAAUAUUCAGGCUCUUCUUUCGCUCCACAUUAACGAGUUCUGUCCAUGAUUAUAUUUGCCAGACACCUAAGAUGUAUGUGAUGUGUGAAUAUAUGUACCCCCUAUUUUGUUUUAUUCCAAUUCUGGAACUCAUACUUGUGCACUAAUGCAGCAUCCGUGACCGAGUUACCAUCUUUAAGUUACAGAGCCUGUGACAAGAGUAACUUUAAUGCUUCAAACUCAAUUCAUGGAGUUAUUGUUAGCCUUUUACACAACUGUAAAAAACAAUUUCCUUUCAUUUGCAAAACUUUAGCUUUGACUAUAUUUUAAUAUGAAAGAAACCAAAUAAAACCCAAAUGACAUCAAGAAGCAUUUUAUUGUCAGACUGUGUGACUCGGAAGCAUGCUAGAAAAAAAACUGAUAAGAAAUUUCUGAAUUUCUUAAUCAGUUCCAUUUUUUAAUGGAAUUUGGAUCGGUUAUCCAAGAGACAUCCAAAGUAAAAUUAGCUAAAUAUGUUUUCCUUUUGUAUUUUAUGAAUUGUUUUGGCAACUACAGCAUAAUAACUUCAGCAGAGGAGGAUGGAUACAAUUGCAGAUGGCCAUGCCAUUUGAGCAAAAGAAGAGAUGAGAUGUUGAUAGUUGCAGUGCACUCGACCACAUUUCUUUUUAAUUAAUUUGAAAUUGUCCAACUCCAAUGCAAAAUCAGGAUCCUCAUAAUAGUACAUCAUAUCGGAGAUCUACAUACAAAAAUAAGUAUGUUGCACUAGCAAAUUUGUCUGCUAUGGUCUUGCCCAAACAAUUUUUCAACAUUGAAAGGUUCUUAGUUUAAGACCAGAUGCAGAUGAGAGAAGAUAUUGAUUUAUCACUGCGUUUAAACCUCACAAUAAAGUCUCCAUUGUGAAGAUCUUGGAACAGUGAAUCCAAAACAAUAGAAACAUGUUAAUCCUAAAGAAAAGAGCUUAGUUUACCGGUUUCACGAAGGCAUCAGCUGGCUCCUCUUCGCCACAGAUUCUAUCCCUCCAAAUGGCCCCGACUUCCGACCACCUCGCCGCCGCCGCCGCCGCAUCCAUCCGCACCGCAGGCGAGGACUACGGCGUUAUCUCGGCGGCAUCGGCGGCCGAUCGGCGCCGUCACCAGCACGUCCGCUUCGAGAGCCAUCAAGAUUGAAGGAGAAUUUGGCCAUCAAUUUGGGAGCGAUCGAAAUGCGGGGAGAUCGAAAAGCGAGGAUGAAGUGAGAGAGCUAAACCCUAGCGAGGUCGCGUUAAGAAGAAAAAAUGGUUUUAGAUUGACCGCGCGCCUUCAACUGCGAACGCAGCCAAUCUCGAUGUAUAGCACGUGAACGGUUGUGGAAAUCCAACGGCCUCUAGGUGCGUCACGGUUUAUUAUUAAUAAAAACGCUUCGUAACCCUAUCAUUGUACCAAAGGGCCACUGCUACGUCUCAAAAAAUUAUUGGCCAUUUAAACCGCGUAUCCCACCGAGCUAGUAAACUAGGAGUGAUAAUCGUGUCAGGAUCAGAUAUUUAUUGGGUUAGACUCAGGCUGGAUCAAAAAUUUAUCAAUCUAAAUCUAAUUUAUUUAUUAAAAAAUUAAAUUCAAAUUCGAUCUAUUUAUUAAAUAAAUAAUUCAAUUCAAUCUGUAUAAUCUAUUUGUUAAACAAAUUAGAUGAGUUAGAUAAAUUUAUUAUUAAUAAAACACUUGGAGCCCAUCAUUGUAUCAAAGAGAUCCACUGUUGCAUCUCAAAUUUUAUUGGUGAUGUAAAUCGUGUAUUGCACCGAACGCAUGAACGUGUUAGAUACCGGUUGGAUUAGAUGCA
Molecule: long non-coding RNA, 3079 nt
Filed under: Phoenix dactylifera (date palm)
Lineage: Eukaryota; Viridiplantae; Streptophyta; Magnoliopsida; Arecales; Arecaceae
Description: long non-coding RNA (PDAC_LNC005136)
Source: RNAcentral